CAGCAGCCACGGUAAUACGAAGGGGGCUAGCGUUGUUCGGAACUACUGGGCGUAAAGGGCGCGUAGGCGGCCAUUCAAGUUAGAUGUGAAAGCCCUGGGCUCAACCUAGGAAUUGCAUUUGAUACUGUUUGGCUUGAGUUCGGGAGAGGUGAGUGGAAUUCCCAGUGUAGAGGUGAAAUUCGUAGAUAUUGGGAAGAACACCAGUGGCGAAGGCGGCUCACUGGACCGACACUGACGCUGAGGCGCGAAAGCGUGGGGAGCAAACAGGAUUAGAUACCCCUGUAGUCCCUGUCUCUUAUAC
RNAcentral lists this ribosomal RNA (301 nucleotides) under uncultured bacterium. Its description in RNAcentral is "partial 16S ribosomal RNA". It matches the Rfam family "Bacterial small subunit ribosomal RNA", at positions 509 to 807 of the family's 1533-position model. The record is from RNAcentral.